UACGGGGGGGGCAAGCGUUGUUCGGAAUUACUGGGCGUAAAGGGCGCGUAGGCGGCCUUCUAAGUCGGACGUGAAAUCCCUCGGCUCAACCGAGGAACUGCGUCCGAUACUGAAAGGCUUGAAUCCGGGAGAGGGAUGUGGAAUUCCAGGUGUAGCGGUGAAAUGCGUAGAUAUCUGGAGGAACACCGGUGGCGAAGGCGGCAUCCUGGACCAACACUGACGCUGAGUGAGCGAAAGCCAGGGGAGCAAACGGG
Molecule: ribosomal RNA, 254 nt
Filed under: uncultured bacterium
Lineage: Bacteria
Description: partial 16S ribosomal RNA
Rfam family: Bacterial small subunit ribosomal RNA
Source: RNAcentral